RNAcentral lists this ribosomal RNA (734 nucleotides) under Lentilactobacillus buchneri. RNAcentral describes it as "bacterial SSU rRNA". It matches the Rfam family "Bacterial small subunit ribosomal RNA", at positions 69 to 774 of the family's 1533-position model. The record is from RNAcentral. Lineage: Bacteria; Bacillati; Bacillota; Bacilli; Lactobacillales; Lactobacillaceae.
UUAUAGGUGCUUGCACUUGAAAGAUUUAACAUUGAGACGAGUGGCGAACUGGUGAGUAACACGUGGGUAACCUGCCCUUGAAGUAGGGGAUAACACUUGGAAACAGGUGCUAAUACCGUAUAACAACCAAAACCACCUGGUUUUGGUUUAAAAGACGGCUUCGGCUGUCACUUUAGGAUGGACCCGCGGCGUAUUAGCUUGUUGGUAAGGUAACGGCCUACCAAGGCGAUGAUACGUAGCCGACCUGAGAGGGUAAUCGGCCACAUUGGGACUGAGACACGGCCCAAACUCCUACGGGAGGCAGCAGUAGGGAAUCUUCCACAAUGGACGAAAGUCUGAUGGAGCAACGCCGCGUGAGUGAUGAAGGGUUUCGGCUCGUAAAACUCUGUUGUUGGAGAAGAACAGGUGUCAGAGUAACUGUUGACAUCUUGACGGUAUCCAACCAGAAAGCCACGGCUAACUACGUGCCAGCAGCCGCGGUAAUACGUAGGUGGCAAGCGUUGUCCGGAUUUAUUGGGCGUAAAGCGAGCGCAGGCGGUUUUUUAGGUCUGAUGUGAAAGCCUUCGGCUUAACCGGAGAAGUGCAUCGGAAACCGGGAGACUUGAGUGCAGAAGAGGACAGUGGAACUCCAUGUGUAGCGGUGAAAUGCGUAGAUAUAUGGAAGAACACCAGUGGCGAAGGCGGCUGUCUGGUCUGUAACUGACGCUGAGGCUCGAAAGCAUGGGUAGCGAACA